GUGGAUUAGAUACCCUAGUAGUCCUAGCUGUAAACGAUGUGGACUAGGUGUUGGUGGGGUAAAAGCCAUCGGUGCCGAAGCCAACGCGGUAAGUCCACCGCCUGGGGACUACGGCCGCAAGGUUAAAACUCAAAGGAAUUGACGGGGGCCCGCACAAGCAGCGGAGCGUGUGGUUUAAUUCGAUGCUACACGAAGAACCUUACCCGGGUUUGACAUACAGGUAGUAGGGAACCGAGAGGGGACCGAUCCUUCGGGAAGCCUGAACAGGUGCUGCACGGCUGUCGCCAGCU
RNAcentral lists this ribosomal RNA (290 nucleotides) under uncultured bacterium. RNAcentral describes it as "partial 16S ribosomal RNA". It matches the Rfam family "Bacterial small subunit ribosomal RNA", at positions 773 to 1060 of the family's 1533-position model. The record is from RNAcentral.